RNAcentral lists this ribosomal RNA (303 nucleotides) under uncultured bacterium. Its description in RNAcentral is "partial 16S ribosomal RNA". It matches the Rfam family "Bacterial small subunit ribosomal RNA", at positions 507 to 807 of the family's 1533-position model. The record is from RNAcentral.
AGCAGCCGCCACGGGAAUACGUAGGGUGCAAGCGUUAAUCGGAAUUACUGGGCGUAAAGCGUGCGCAGGCGGUUAUAUAAGACAGAUGUGAAAUCCCCGGGCUCAACCUGGGAACUGCAUUUGUGACUGUAUAGCUAGAGUACGGCAGAGGGGGAUGGAAUUCCGCGUGUAGCAGUGAAAUGCGUAGAUAUGCGGAGGAACACCGAUGGCGAAGGCAAUCCCCUGGGCCUGUACUGACGCUCAUGCACGAAAGCGUGGGGAGCAAACAGGAUUAGAUACCCCAGUAGUCCCUGUCUCUUAUAC